GGGAGGAGGAGGAGGAGGAGGAGGAAGAAGAGGAGGAGGUGGAGUGCUGGAGGAGGUUGCCCAUUCUGCUUUAGUGAGUCUCGUAGGAGGGGUUCCCUGUUUGAGGCACAGAGGACCGGGGAAAGGAUAGCUUUGGAAGCAGGAAGCAGGCAGCGGCAGCAGCGGCAGCAGCACCACCAGCAAGCACCCUUUCCAUGAGGUGUGCACGGUAGUGGGUUCUCAGGCGCUGCGCUGUUGGAAAGAGGUUCGGACGCAUCCUGCGCCCAUGAAGCCAACGCGUUUGCCCCAGGUCUUUGUUUCAAAAAACCUGAUGGUGACAUUGCUGUUGCUUGCUGCCCAGCAUGUUUAAGAAAACUGAUUGCAAGAAAGAAACUUUGAACCUUCAUAUGAUCUGCAGUUGGCAUCACAGGACUCAUGGGCCUGGCUUCCACUGGAACUGAAUAUUACAAUGAAAGCUCCCUCAUGGAACAGCUCGAAGUGCAGGUACAUGCCAAGGCAGAGCAGAUGCUGCUUCUUGGAGCAGGAUCCAUAUUCUUCAAUUACAUCAAAACGUGGGAGUCACUUGGCUCAAGGAGACUGAAGACUGCAGGAAGGGGCUCAGAGCUGUUUACUCGGUUACGUGGUUUGUGACAGUUUGAUGCUAGCCAGGAAAUAGAACCUCAGAGUUGGAAAGCUACAGCUGUGGCAGAAAGAGGACUUGGUUUGGAGCCAGAGGACCUAGAUUUGAAUCCCAGCUUUGCUACUUAGUAUCUGUGACAUCUUUGUCAAGCUACUUCCUCAUGCUCCAUCUCAAGUUUUCUCACUUGCAAAAUGAGAGUAUCAUAGGAGGUGAUCUCUGAGGCGUCUUCUACAUUUACGUCCUGUGAUCCAGCAUUUCUUAAAGUGAGGGAUCAAGAACUAUAUUUUAUUUUGUUUUGAGACUGAGUCUUCCUAUCUCCCCCAGGCUAAAAGUAUAGUGAGAAGGGAGUAGUCAUUGAUAUAGUGCCUACUAUGUGCCAGGCACUAUGCUAAGUGCUUUUUUUUUUAAAAAACAAAUAUUAUCUAAUUUGAUCCUUCCAACAGUCCUGGAGGUAGGUGCUAUUUUUAUUCUCAUUUUACAAAUGAGCAAACUGAGACAAAGAGAGGUUAAGUGACUUGCCCAACUCAAGUCUUCCUGACUCCAGGCUUAGAAUGCUAUUUACUGUACCACCAGCUCUAACUACUCAGGGGCACAAUCCCAUUACUCAUUGGCUGCUCCAUUUCUAACUGGACCAGUUUGCCCUUCCUUAAGCAGUGUGGUGCCCCUCCCCUCCCAAGGGGCUCUAAUUUUGGUGCCUUAGUAUGGAUACCCAAUAACCUUAGCACACUGCAGCUCAGAGCUCCCAUGCUCAAGCUAUCUACCAGCCUUUAUAGCAGCAGGGAUUGCAGAUGUUCACCACCACGCCCAGCUUGCGAGCUUAUCUUCUCAAAAAUAUUUUGGUAACUGUAUUUCAAUAUAAUUUGGUUUCCUUUGCACCAUGUAUUUUAUUUUAUGCGUUUGAAAACAUUGUUCUGAGGAGGGAUCCAUAGGCUUCACCAGAUUGUCAAAGGGGGUCCAUGACACAAAAAAUGGUUGAGAACCCCUGAUCUAGUACAACCUAGACCUGAACAAGGACCUGCUCUACAAUAUCACUUUAAAAAAAAAUCUCCCCAUGUUACAAACUCACCAAAAUUAUCUGGUUGUCAAUAUACUUAUCUGUUGCCCUGGCAAGUGAUUACCCAGAUUUGUUGAAGAGAUCUAGUGGGGAGGAACCCACUAGAUCCCAAAGCAUUCCAUUUUCCUUUGGGAUAAUUACAAUCAUUAGAAAGUUUGCUCUUACAUCAAGCCUAAAUCUGCCUCUACACAACUUCUACUCACGUGACUUGACCUUUCAAAUACUUGGAAACAAUUUUCAUUCAUCUCCUAAGUCUUUUCUUCAAGCUUCAGACUCUUAGCCAUCCUCAAUUCCUUCAACUACUCCUCAACUUCAACACAACUUCAAAGUCCUUUGAUACUCUGCUCCACUUGGGAAACACUUCUAUUUAUUGAUGCCCUUCCUAAAGCGUGGUGUCCAAGACUGACCAUAAUACUCCAGAUGAGGUCUGAACAGGGAAGAGUUAUGUAGAGCUAUUACACCUCUCUAGUCCAGGACAUUCUGCCUCUUAAUGCAGCCUAGUCUUGCAUUUGAUUUUUUUUUUUGUGGCUGAUAUUUAAAAUGAAAACAUCUUAAGGGCAAAGGCCAAUUAAUUUUUGCUCGGAAUCUUUAGAAUCUAGCACAAUAGUGCCCGGCCCAUAAUAGGUGCUUAAUAAAUGUUUAUUGAAUGAAUGUAUAUCA
Molecule: long non-coding RNA, 2333 nt
Filed under: Phascolarctos cinereus (koala)
Lineage: Eukaryota; Metazoa; Chordata; Mammalia; Diprotodontia; Phascolarctidae
Description: lncRNA (ENSPCIG00000036069.1)
Source: RNAcentral